Molecule: ribosomal RNA, 317 nt
Filed under: uncultured eukaryote
Lineage: Eukaryota
Description: partial 18S ribosomal RNA
Rfam family: Eukaryotic small subunit ribosomal RNA
Source: RNAcentral
CCCUUAGAUGUUCUGGGCCGCACGCGCGCUACGCUGAUCAGUGCAACAAGCAUCCGUCCUUGGCCGACAGGCCCGGGCAAUCUUUGAACGCUGAUCGUGAUGGGGAUAGACUUUUGCAAUUUUUGGUCUUCAACGAGGAAUUCCUAGUAAACGCAAGUCAUCAACUUGCAUUGAUUACGUCCCUGCCCUUUGUACACACCGCCCGUCGCACCUACCGAUUGAAUGGUCCGGUGAAGCCUCCGGAUUGGCGUGCACCCUCGGGUGCUGCCGAGAAGUUGGCUAAACCUUACCAUUUAGAGGAAGGUGAAGUCGUAACA